UCCUUAUUCCCUUGGUGACUCUCACCAACCCACUUUGUCUUUUCUUUCUCCCUCGACCCUUCUCUUUCACCAUAUGGAGACAACUACCACUUCCGCACCCAACACUCGACGCCGCUCUUUCCGCUGCUCCUUCGUCACACGCUGCUGUCGCUGCUUCUGCUGUUUCUACUCCUUCCCUUAAACUAAACAAAUGCACCUUCUUUUUUUUCAAUCAUCGCUGCUCAACACAUGAAAGCAGAGGAACAACAGUUACAACCUUCGAAGCUUUACCUUUUAGGUUCUCGGUCAAAUCCACGCCAUCAAUGGGGAGUGGGAAAAGCAGAGACAUCUCAAGGUUCUCUACUGCUGCAAAGUUUACGAGUUUAUUUUAAAAUUAGGGUUUUUAACUUUGGAUUUGGGGAUUUUAUUGUUUUUUAGAAUUGUUCUAUUCAAGCUUGGAUUACGAUUAUCUUGUUAGGAUGUUCAGCUUAGAUUGUGGUCUUGACGUAUUGUCUUGUAAUAUUGUUGAUUGAAGAAAUGGCAUAUAUGUUUGACCAAUAUAAGGCCGUGUUUGGUUAACUUUCUCCAUUAACACUCAUAGAAGAAGAAAAUAAGAAGCAAAAUGAAAAGAAAAUAAAAAAGCUUCUCCUGUAAGCGAAAAUUAGCUUAUGCAUUAGUUGAAAUCAGCUUUUCAGAUAAGCUAAAAUUAGCUUCUUUUUUUUUUCACUUUAUAAAACCCGGGAGAAGAUAGUAGUUGUCCUUUUGAGGAGGAGAAGAUAAAUUUUGCUUUAUAUCCAUCAUUGCAAGGGGGUCUUCGCAAUAAUCACACUGCUGUUCCAGCCACUGCUUUAGAACAAGGUAAGGUUCCAAUGUACAAACCAUACAUUCAACAGGUGAAGAAAAGUGCAUUAGCAUCUGCUUUGUUGAAAAGAAAAUGUAGAUUAGCGACAAACGAGACUCACAAUCAUCUGUUGUUGUGCGAUCUAACAAUACUUGGAUUAAUUGGUAAUUUGGUAUUUUUUUAUUCCACAUUUUGUAAUAUGUCUCAAACAUUAUAACAGAAUUUUGAAUGAUUAUGCCGUAUUUCCAUAAUAAAAAUUUAUUAUUUGGUGUGAUGGUGGUGGAAAAUAGUGCAAUUGUAUGAGCAACUUAGAAUUUAUGACUUUGUCUCUAACAAAUUAAAAUUGUAUGAUUCUGUUAUAUAUAGAAAACAAAGGGUUUAUAUGUGUUAAGAGGAAUAACUUAUCCGGUGAUUGUUUGAAUAACUCUGAUUUGGCUUAUUUUCACUUUACCACCUCGUGAUUUAAAAUGAAUUUGCUCCUCUAGUUAGCACAUAAUCCCUGUAGAUUUUUUUCUUCAAUUCUUUUUGCUGAAUAAGCUUAUGAUCAAGUAACCCCGUUGACUAAGGUGGAAAUGUAUUGUGAUUAGUGAUUACACCCUAUAUUAACAUAAUAGUUUAUUUUAUUCCGAGGUAAUAAUGCAUUUUUAGAACUACGAUUUUGGGGUCUUAUUUUCUAAAAUCAGAUAAUUUUUUCCCCUUAUGUAGGUUUCUCCUAAUCUAAUAUUUUUAAUUGAUGUAAAAUAUUUGAAAGAACGACUUAAGCUUUUAAGCAAUUUGACUGAGAUUUUUAAUUUUAGGGAUAGGUUAAGACUAAGAAACUUGGUGGAUUGAGUUUUAUUAAAUAUGUCUUAAAACAGGGGUGGCCUGGAAGAUAUUUGAAGAUUAAGGACAAAAGUUUGGGAGUUGUGAAUACUUCUUAUGACCGGAGAUUUGGUGGCGUAUAAUGUGGGCUGUUGGUCAUUCUUUUUGGGUCCUUGGUUUUUGGCCCAUUCAAGUGAAAACAAAUUAGUCCUAUAGCAGGAAACAAGAAACUUCAGUUAUUGUCUGGUAAUGGAGACAAAUCAACUAAAGACUUGAAGAAAUUAGAAGUUGAAGAAAGAGAGGUUAAAUAGCUUAGGCUUCUUGCAUAAAAAAAUCUAAAGUGGUCCAGUCUUAAAUAACUAAAUUUUAGACCUUUGCUCAUAUAUCAUUAAUUCAUUACUGUUUAAAGUUCAUAUGAUUUUAUCUAUUUCAAUUUGAUAUUUAUGCUAUUCUUAUAUUUAUAUUGUUGACUGGUUGAUCAAGACAUUAUAUAUCAUGAUUCCUGGUUGACUGGCUGCAGCAAUUCUAAACUCAUGUAGACUUAUUUUAAACGAAUCCAUAUUUUUAAUAGCUCUAUGAUGUAUUGGAAUUUAAUCUAAUGUACCUUAAUUCAAUAUGCACUUUGUAAAAAUUAUGAAUAGGCUUAGAAAGUGUUACACAAAUUUCCAGUUCGAAUUUAAUGGGGUAUUUUCUUUUGCAAGCACAAGAUAUUUGUUUUGUUUGUCUCUGUUUUUCUUCUUGUUGUGUUUUGGAAGCUAUAUUCAUAAAGCAUUUGUAGAAGGUUUGUUUGCUAGGGACCGGGAAGGAGAAGGCAAACAAAUCUUAUGUUGUUUUCUUGGCUGAUACUUAACUUCCAUCAAAUCAUAUUGUUUUGGAAUAGUAUAAAUCCAUAUGUUUUACUUGGUUUGUUAAAUUAUGUAUUCCAGUAUGUCUUUGUAGGUGUAUUUCAUUCAUGCUUCUAAAUGCUCUUUUUCCCUUUUCCUGUAACUGUAAAUUAUGUCUUUGAAGUUGAAGUUGACAUGAGAAUACUCUUUAAAUCAUUUUAUUAUUUAAAGCAUAAAGAAAUUAUGAGAAUGUCUUUGAGGUGUGCUACAUCAUGCUCAAGAAAUGUGCCGUUUGUAAUUCUACAUUUUCUGGUGGAGUGAGAAUUGCUAAGUGGCUCUCCUAUUUGAAUGAAUAUCUGGUAGUUUCAGUUGUGCUUGAUUAAGAAUAUAUUGAACUCGUAUUUUUUUUCUUUGCAAAUUUCCAAAUCUUUAAAUUCAGUAUACCAAUAAAUAAGAAUUCUCUGAAUUCCAUCAAUUUCACUUGGCAUACUUCCACACAUUAAGUAAAUAGUCCUGUAAAAAGCAAAUAUUCUUUCAAAUCUAUUUUGUUUUGAGGUAAUUUAUGCUAGUCGAAGAAUCUAUGACUACCUUAUUCAUCUCUAGCCUCUUCUCGAGGAGAUAUUCUUAGUCAGGACACUGCCUAAAAUAUGCAACAAUAAGAUGCAAGUGCUGUCUUAAUUCUUGUACUCUAAGCCAAUUGCUGUGUGGUCUCUUUGUAUAAGCAAGUUACUAUGCUCAAGAAGACCUUUAAUUUCUUUCCUACUCUGGUACUCCAGCAAAUAGCAAUGACAUAAAGAGAUUAUGUAGGAGAUGAUUUUGGUAAAGUUGAUGGUUUUUGUUAUAGGACUGCUCAGAUAACUUGGAUUGUACAGAGGGAACAUGGGAAAUCAUGCAAAGAUUUUCCUGGGGG
RNAcentral lists this long non-coding RNA (3355 nucleotides) under Glycine max (soybean). RNAcentral describes it as "long non-coding RNA (GMAX_LNC002863)". Lineage: Eukaryota; Viridiplantae; Streptophyta; Magnoliopsida; Fabales; Fabaceae. The record is from RNAcentral.